CGUAGGGUGCAAGCGUUGUCCGGAAUUAUUGGGCGUAAAGAGCUCGUAGGCGGUUUGUCGCGUCGGCUGUGAAAUCUCGGGGCUCAACCCCGAGCCUGCAGUCGAUACGGGCAGACUUGAGUGCUGUAGGGGAGACUGGAAUUCCUGGUGUAGCGGUGAAAUGCGCAGAUAUCAGGAGGAACACCGGUGGCGAAGGCGGGUCUCUGGGCAGUGACUGACGCUGAGGAGCGAAAGCGUGGGGAGCGAACAGGAUU
RNAcentral lists this ribosomal RNA (254 nucleotides) under uncultured bacterium. RNAcentral describes it as "partial 16S ribosomal RNA". It matches the Rfam family "Bacterial small subunit ribosomal RNA", at positions 526 to 779 of the family's 1533-position model. The record is from RNAcentral.